AGAAUCAACGCUGGCGGCGUGCCUAACACAUGCAAGUCGCACGAGAAAGGGGAGCAAUCCCUGAGUAAAGUGGCGCACGGGUGAGUAACACGUGAAUCAUCUACCUCCGAGUGGGGAAUAACCUAGAGAAAUCUGGGCUAAUACCGCAUAACACUUACGAGUCAAAGCAGCAAUGCGCUUGGAGAGGAGUUCGCGGCAGAUUAGCUAGUUGGCGGGGUAAUGACCCACCAAGGCGAUGAUCUGUAUCCGACCUGAGAGGGCGCACGGACACACUGGAACUGAAACACGGUCCAGACUCCUACGGGAGGCAGCAGUGGGGAAUUUUGCGCAAUGGGGGAAACCCUGACGCAGCAACGCCGCGUGGAGGAUGACGCCCCUUGGGUGUAAACUCCUUUCGAUCGGGAAGAUAAUGACGGUACCGAUAUAAGAAGCCCGGCUAACUUCGCGCCAGCAGCCGC
This 458-nucleotide ribosomal RNA is filed under the name uncultured bacterium. RNAcentral's name for it is "SSU rRNA". It matches the Rfam family "Bacterial small subunit ribosomal RNA", at positions 26 to 518 of the family's 1533-position model. The record is from RNAcentral.